GGCGGCCCUGGAGGGGAGGAGGGGGACCUGGAACUUCCGGUGGAGCGGGAAAUGCGUAGAGAUCGGGAAGGAACGCCAGCGGCAAAAGCGAGGUCCUGGCCUCUCACUGACGUUGAGGCGCGAAAGCCAGGGGAGCGAACGGGAUUAGAUACCCCGUUAGUCCUGGCCGUAAACCAUGGGCACUGGGUAGGGGGCUCGCCGAUGGGCCCCCUGCCGCAGCGAAAGCGUGAAGUGCCCCGCCUGGGGAGUAUGGUCGCAAGGUUGAAACUCAAAGGAAUUGACGGGGGCUCACACAAGCGGUGGAGCAUGUGGCUUAAUUCGAGGCUACGCGCAAAACCUUAUCCCGGGCUUGACAUGCACGGAUUAGCCGGCGGAAACGUCGGUGAGGCCGCAAGGUACAACGUGCACAGGUGUUGCAUGGCUGUCGUCAGCUCGUGUCGCGAGAUGUUGGGUUCAGUCCCGUAACGGGCGAAACCCCUGUGACUAGUUGCCAGCGAGAAAGCCGGGCACUCUAGUCAGACCGCCGGCGUCAAGCCGGAGGAAGGCGGGGAUGACGUCAAGUCCUCAUGGCCCUUAUGCCCGGGGCUGCACACGUGCUACAAUGGGCCGGACAAAGCGUCGCGAUGCCGCAAGGCCGAGCCAAUCGCAAAAACCGGCCCUCAGUUCGGAUUGCGGGCUGCAACCCGCCCGCAUGAAGCUGGAAUCGCUAGUAAUCGCGGGUCAGCACUGCCGCGGUGAAUACGUUCC
Molecule: ribosomal RNA, 747 nt
Filed under: uncultured bacterium
Lineage: Bacteria
Description: bacterial SSU rRNA
Rfam family: Bacterial small subunit ribosomal RNA
Source: RNAcentral